This 631-nucleotide ribosomal RNA is filed under the name uncultured eukaryote. RNAcentral's name for it is "SSU rRNA". It matches the Rfam family "Eukaryotic small subunit ribosomal RNA", at positions 610 to 1261 of the family's 1831-position model. The record is from RNAcentral.
UUGCUGCAGUUAAAAAGCUCGUAGUUGAAAUUCUGCUCCGGCAGACAAGUAUCCUUCAGGAUUCGUGUCACCGGGCAUCAGUCUGCAAUCUUUUUCACGGCAUUCACUUGUCGGGCUAGGGAGCAGACGUUUUACCUUGAGAAAAUUAGAGUGUUCCAGGCAGGCUUCAGCCCGAAUACAUUAGCAUGGAAUAAUAGAAUAGGACUAGAGACUAUUUAUUGGUUUGAGGCUCUAGUAAUGAUUAAUAGGAACAGUCGGGGGCAUUAGUACUUAACAGUCAGAGGUGAAAUUCUAGGAUUUGUUAAAGACUAACUAAUGCGAAAGCAUUUGCCAAGCAUGUUUUCAUUAAUCAAGAACGAAAGUUAGGGGAUCAAAGACGAUUAGAUACCGUCGUAGUCUUAACUAUAAACUAUACCGACUCGGAAUUGGGCAAUUUAUUAUAGAUUGCUCAGCGCCGUAAGAGAAAUCAAAGUCUUUGGGUUCUUGGUGGAGUACGAUCGCAAGAUUGAAACUUAAAGGAAUUGACGGUUUUGCACCACCAUGGAGUGGAGCCUGCGGCUUAGUUUGACUCAACACGGGAAAACUUAUCAGGGUAAAAAGGUAUUGGGAUUGACAGAUUGAGAGUUCUUUC